Molecule: long non-coding RNA, 188 nt
Organism: Aedes aegypti (yellow fever mosquito)
Lineage: Eukaryota; Metazoa; Arthropoda; Insecta; Diptera; Culicidae
Exons: 2
Source: RefSeq, a predicted model, not a curated record
GUAUGAAAUAGUUUGGUCAGACAGACAUUUCUCUGAGAAUAUAUUUAAAACUUUUUUUUUAUUUUGUCGUGACAUUAUAACGACAUAUCAGCAAAUCUGGUAUAUGUCAGUAAAGGACAAACUUUCAUUGAUGAAUUCUUCCAAAAAUUUUGUUUUGGAUAUUUCGAAAUAAAACCAGGAUUUUUUCC